AUACAACGUACAGUAUCACACAAAAAGAGAUGAUACGGCAAGUCAAAAAAUAAAUAAACUGUUUGAACAUACGAAUAGUGGGUACGGUUUCUCUCUACAAAUCAAAUUCGUUCUUGAUAAUCCUCUUCGUCUAAUCCGAUUGAAGAUUUGUUAGUACCAAAAAAUAGUUUAAUCUGACAAUGACUAUGCGAUUUCAAGAGGAAUCCAGGUUUAAUUUUCGGUGUUCAUCAUCGAUAAUUUCGAUUCAUUGCAAGUAUCAGCCAUUCAUAGAUUAAAAUUAGGUAUUCUUCUUCAUCACUAUUCUUGCAGCCGGUGUUGCCAUUUUAGUGACUUUACACUCCAAAUCCGUCGACUUUACACUCCAUUUAGUAACAAAUUCUCCGUACCAUAACAAAUCGGAGCGCCGGACCUUAUCAAUUUGGAAUGCCGUACCGAUUCAACUCGGAUCGCCGGACCAUGAUGUUCCAGAUCGAUUACGAUUUGCGAUUGGGUACACCGCGAUCCAAUACGUGGAUCGUGAUAACCCUAGCGAUUUAGGUAACUAUGCGUUAUAUUUUCCAACAUAUCAUAUGGGAAAAAUGGAGGCGUUUCUAUAUUUUCAUGUAACAGUUUAUGUUUAGUUGCUCUGUAUGUUUGUUUUUUUUCUCCUAGCGGUUGUAUUGAUUGUACUGUGCCCGACUCAUUGUCAUCCCUAUUUGUACCCAGCUCCUCGCUUGGCCGUUUUAUUGAGAAAGUUUAUGUUGGUCUUUAAAAAAACACUAGGCCCAUCCUA
Molecule: long non-coding RNA, 772 nt
Organism: Helianthus annuus (common sunflower)
Lineage: Eukaryota; Viridiplantae; Streptophyta; Magnoliopsida; Asterales; Asteraceae
Exons: 2
Source: RefSeq, a predicted model, not a curated record